Long non-coding RNA from Biomphalaria glabrata, 4615 nucleotides. RefSeq lists it as uncharacterized. The transcript is spliced from 2 exons. Lineage: Eukaryota; Metazoa; Mollusca; Gastropoda; Planorbidae. The record is from RefSeq and is a predicted model, not a curated record.
CAUAAUAGAGUCCGGACCCAGCACGGUACUGAGUACUGAGUAAACUUAUUAAAAUAUAGAUCUAGAUCUAAUUAGUGAGAUCAAGAGUCUACAUUGACUAUCUAUGUAACAUAAGAAUAAGAGUCUAAGAAACUUUAGUCACUCAACAUAUUGUAUCGUUUUUCGCGUCAUCUGUGGAAAUUAAUGUGUUUGUUGAAACAAGCGCAAUGCCUGAAGCAGACUUUAAUCAUUAUAUUUAUCAUAUUUAUGCAAACCAAACAACGCCGACAAUGGCCAUAGCUUUAUUAACCCCAAAUACAGAGCUACAUUCUGGCCGGUAUUAUGCUCGUCUCAACGUCAGUAUAAGACAUGAUCUGAAGUUGCCAUUACAUUUGACUUCAGGUAUUCAAGAAACUGAGACCCAGAAUCUGGAGGUCUUUGACGUGAACCCUCCAGACAGAGUAGAGCCAGAGGCAUUCAACAACACAUUAUCCACAGAAGACAACAACCCACACCUUCCAGGAGGACAACAUCAGACUAGAUCUACCAGUGAUCCAUUUGGCAUUAUCUGGAAGGUGUGAGAACUAUGUAAAAACUGCAAACAAGAUGUACAGUUGACAAGCUCAGUUUUGCAUCUCAGUGAUGGAACUCUCUAAAGAAAUAGCAACUUGUUUGAUGGUCUUUUCGAAACUUGAUAAACAGUGGAUUGUCUCAUUGUGCGAAGGGUGAGACAGAAAUAUGGUAAAAUUUACUGAAGGAAAUCUAUUUCAUAAAAAAGAAAUUACUUGACAUUAAAUUCACUAACGCUAACAAGUGAGCACAAUUCUAUAAUGUGUUCAGUUACAAGGAUUCUCAAACUGCAUUCCAAGACUCAAAAAAACCCUUGAUGAAAUCAUAUUAAUUAGAAGCUAAGGAACGGCCAAAGUUGAAUUGGAGCUGCACUGAAGAACAACUUGAUGCAGUAUUCUCAUUUGGUCAAGCAAUAGUACUUCUGAGUUUAUAGACUUGAGACUUAACACAUUGACACUAUUAAAUCAACAACUCUGCGAAGAGCUAUAUCAAAAUGACACAAAAUCUCAAGGAUGACUUUUUAUUUAUUUACAGAAGCACCUGAACUGUUUGAAGAACAGGGCAGACAGUGUUGUAAAAAAUGUGUUCCUUUCAUGAAACUAGCAAAAAAUAAGUGAUAUACUUAGACCUUAAAGUAUCUCUUUUUAUCUGAAAUCCUUGACGUAAAAAAAACUUUGCUUUAAAAUUUUGGUGUGUCAUAAAUCAGUUGAUUCAAUGGAUUAUCUGUCAAAUUCUUUGAAUUUUAAUUUUAGAUUAUAAGCACGAAUCAAAUUUAUUCAUUUUUUUGCUAGUACCAUGAGGAAGGCUUUAGCAGAAUAGGAAAUAAUAAUUGACAUUUGUGGAUGAAAAAUAUUUUUAAAACUAAAUUUGAUGGCUUCAUUAUCCACUGCCAUAUUUCUGUUUUCUCCUAUUAUUUUGUGUGUAUUGACUGAACAGCAUUUCAUGGUUUAUAUAUAACUAUACUCGUAUAAUUCAUUUUUUUUAAUAUAUAUUUAUAUUUUCUAUGCAGAUUACUAUUUUUAUAUAUUUGAGAGUUGCCUUUACUUUUAUUUGAAGUGAUUGGACUCUUGAAUACUGGUACUGUGUACAUACUAAGAUUUAGGUCAAGGGUUAGGGCAGGGGACUGUUUUUUUUUAGUACACAUGGCUUAUUUUUCUAGAGGAAAUAGUUGAAUUUUAAUUUGAACUUGACAUGUGAAAUAUUGUUUAGAGAAGGAAAAAGAAUUUUAGAGAUUUGUUGCUAGCAUUUUUUAAAAAUCCUGGUCCACCUAUUGGUACAGUAGUGAUAGGUCACUUGCGGCAUAUUGUUAUUGCAACCAAUGUAAUUUAACAAUAAGCCCCAGAGACUAAAUGUCCCUUGUUGCAAGUCUCAUGUUGCAAGUCAUGGUUACUGCACUACUAAGAUUUCCCUGGGUCAAGUGUCAUGUAAGUACUGUACCAACAGGUGUGUUAGGAGACAGCCAAGCUUUGGGUAAUGUAACACUAAGAAUCCAAUCCAGUUGUUAACUUUUUUUCUAUUGUAAAAAAAAAAAUUAUCUUUUGUGAAUUUUCGUUUACGCACCCUUGACCUAAAUAAUAUGUAUGCAGGUCGUCUGGUAGAACCACAGUACAUCCGGUGGACGCAAGUGACAAUCGCCUCGCCAUUCUCAGCUGUGUACUGGUUAAUGAAGUACUUCACCAGUGCACGGCUGAGAAUGGCACGACCGCUAUCACUUGCCGGUUCACCGGUUAGGGUAGUUCUACCAGGCAACCCUAAAUAAUUAUAAUGAGCACAGGUCAUCAGGUAGAACUGCUACAUUCUGGUCAACGCAAGUAAUGUUUAUCGCACCACUCUCAUCUGUGGAUUGGUUAAUGAAAUACUUAACCAGUGCACGGCUGAGGCUGGUGCGAUGAAUAUCACUUGCGCUCCCGGGCUGUAGCAGUUCUAACAGAUGACCUGUGCUUAUUGUUUUUUUUUUACUUUGUCUCAAUGUGUUACAGAAUCAUUCAAUUCAUUCUGGUCUUUCAUCAUUUUUGUAUCUUUCAACGGGUGUCAGGUGAGUAAACAACGAGAGGGUCACGGUUAAGUAACAGAUCUUUUGCGUGGUGAGGUUGGGAGGUUCGUACUUUUGCUUUACAACUUUAUAGCUGCCUUCAAAGAAACUCUUGGUGCAAUGGGACAAUGAGUGCAUCGCACUUGGAACAUUGAAGUUUGUUAAAAAAAAGAAAGGAAUUCUCUACAAGAUAUGGAUGAGACAGAAAGAAUGAUUGUUUGUGCUCAGCUAUAGCUCUCUAUCAGUACACACAUCACAGUAAUCUUAAAGUAUUUUUUACUUUAUAGAUCUCUUGGUGUGUGUACUGAUAGAGAGCUGUAGGGGAACAUAGACACUCAUUCUUUCUCAUUCAUAUCUUGUAGAGAAUUACUUUCUUCUUUCUAUUUAGGUUGUCAUCGCACUUGGAACAUUGAAGUUUGUUAAAAAAAGAAAGGAAUUCUCUACAAGAUAUGGAUGAGAGAAAGAAUGAUUGUUUGUGCUCAGCUAUAGCUCUCUAUCAGUACACACAUCACAGUAAUCUUAAAGUAUUUUUGACUUUAUAGAUCACUUGGUGUGUGUACUGAUAGAGAGCUGUAGGGGAUCUUACACACUCAUUCUUUCUGUCUCAUUCAUGUCAUGUAAAGAAUUACUUUCUUCUAUUUAUGUUGUCAUUGCACUUGGAACAUUGAAGUUUGUUAAAAAAAAGAAAGGAAUUCUCUACAAGAUAUGGAUGAGACAGACAGAAUGAGUGUGUUCAGCUAUAGCUCUCUAUCAGUACACACAUCACAGUAAUCUUAAAGUAUCUUACUUUAUAGAUCUCUUGGUGUGUGUACUGAUAGAGAGCUGUAGGGGAACAUAGACACUCAUUCUUUCUCAUUCAUAUCUUGUAGAGAAUUACUUUCUUCUUUCUAUUUAGGUUGUCAUCGCACUUGGAACAUUGAAGUUUGUUAAAAAAAAGAAAGGAAUUCUCUACAAGAUAUGGAUGAGACAGAAAGAAUGAUUGUUUGUGCUCAGCUAUAGCUAUCAGUACACACAUCACAGUAAUCUUAAAGUAUUUUUUACUUUAUAGAUCUCUUUGUGUGUGUACUGAUAGAGAGCUGUAGGGGAACAUAGACACUCAUUCUUUCUGUCUCAUUCAUGUCUUGUAGAGAAUUCCUUUCUUCUUUCUAUUUACCUCACCACACAAAAGAUCAGUUACGCAACGGUGACCCUCUAUUGUUCACUCACCUGUCCCCCGUUGAAUCAUACCCACAAUCAUUAAGACGUGUCAUUUUAAAGCUUAACAGGGUUGUAGGCCUUACAAUAGAACCUGUUAGGCUGAAAUCACACGAGUUGAUGAUAAAAAUUGGGUUUUCGGGGCCCUCGUUGAUGGCCCAUCAACCAGGGCCCGUAUCACCCAAGAUGAUUGAUGGAGUGAAUUGGUGAUUUUAUGACUUGUUGAGACAAAGUAAGUCUCAGCUGUUUACUGUUUCAUCAUAUUGUGAAGAAUUGCAUUGUUGUUCUUUUUACAUUUAACAUUGAAAUUGUCUUACAUUAAUUAUGUGCCCAUUGUGGUAAUGGAUGUAUGAGAAUAUUAUAGGGCUGUAUGAUUCCACUGUUUUUCUAAGACAAGAUAUGACCAGCUACGAGUGUUUUGUGAAAUUGUUUUCUAACUCAGCCUGAAUAAGAUCAGCUAUAGAUUCAGUAGUGCAAUAUUCUGAUUAUUUCCACAUCAGGUUACAUUUGAAAUUAAUUAUUUAUUUAGUUUUUUUGUUUGUUUAUUUUUUCAAAUUUGUGAGCAAUUUCUAACAUGUGUACAACAUUGUAGGAAUUUUAUUGUUGAAACUCCAAAAAUAUGUUGAUUGUACACUAAUGGUUAAUUUUUAGUUCCAUGGCCAGGCUUUUCUGAGACUGUCAACUGUCUCCAAUUAUUUGAUGCCUAUUAUUUCCUUUCAUUUAUAUCAGACUUACUCUACAGAAGCUCUAUUUCUAUCUUUUCAAAUUUGAUUUCAACAAAGUCUCUAAUUUUAAUAUUUAUUUCACAUUUAGUUGAAAUAAAAUUUUAAAUGAAAAAUC